CCUACGGGAGGCAGCAGUGAGGAAUAUGGGUCAAUGGGCGGGAGCCGGAACCAGCGAAGUCGCGGGAGGGAAGACGGUCCUAUGGAUUGUAAACCUCUUUAGGCGGGGAGCAAUGCCGGGCACGCGUGCCCGGAGGGAGAGUACCCGCAGAAUAAGCAUCGGCUAACUCCGUGCCAGCAGCCGGGGUAAUACGGAGGAUGCGAGCGUUAUCCGGAUUUAUGGGGUUUAAAGGGUGCGUAGGCGGAUUUUUAAGUCAGGGGUAAAAUGUCCGGGCUCAACCCGGGCCGGCCGUUGAAACUGGGGAUCUUGAGUGGGCGAGAAGUAUGCGGAAUGCGUGGUGUAGCGGUGAAAUGCAUAGAUAUCACGCAGAACUCCGAUUGCGAAGGCAGCAUACCGGCGCCCGACUGACGCUGAGGCACGAAAGCGUGGGGAUCGAACAGGAUUAGAUACCCUAGUAGUC
Molecule: ribosomal RNA, 460 nt
Filed under: uncultured bacterium
Lineage: Bacteria
Description: partial 16S ribosomal RNA
Rfam family: Bacterial small subunit ribosomal RNA
Source: RNAcentral